ACCAAGCCGGUGACGGGUAGCUGGUUUGUGAGAAUGACCAGCCAGACUGGGACUGAGAGACGGCCCAGACUCCUACGGGAGGCAGCAGCAAGGAAUUUUCGGCAAUGGGCGCAAGCCUGACCGAGCAACGCCGCGUGCAGGACGACGGCCUUCGGGUUGUAAACUGCUUUUGGUGGGGAUGACAACGACAGUACCCGCCGAACAAGCCCCGGCUAACUCUGUGCCAGCAGCCGCGGUAAGACAGAGGGGGCAAGCGUUGUCCGGACUGACUGGGCGUAAAGCGCACGCAGGUGGUCGUGCAAGUGUGGUGUGAAAGCGCUCCGCUUAACGGAGCGAGGCCAUCGCAGACUGCAGGACUGGAGCUAUGCAGAGGUUCGUGGAAUUGCCGGUGUAGUGGUGAAAUGCGUAGAGAUCGGCAGGAACACCAAGGGCGGAAGCAGCGAACUGGGCAUCGGCUGACACUCAUGUGCGAAAGCGUGGGGAGCGAACCGGAUUAGAUACCCGGGUAGUCCACGCUGUAAACGAUGGACGCUCGGCAUCUGGGGGCUAUCUGGCCGCUGGGUGCCUCAGCUAACGCGGGAAGCGUCCCGCCUGGGAACUACGAGCGCAAGCUUAAAACUCAAAGGAAUUGACGGGAGCCCGCACAAGCAGCGGAGCGUGUGGUUUAAUUCGACGCAACGCGUAGCACCUCACCCAGACUUGACAUGUGUCUGCAGGUCGGGGAAACCCGGCCGCCUUCGAGGGUGACACACAGAUGCUGCAUGGCUGUCGUCAGCUCGUGUCGUGAGAUGUUGGGUUAAGUCCCGCAACGAGCGCAACCCCUGCGGUCAGUUACUUGUGUCUGGCCGGACUGCCCUUGAGUGGGAGGAAGGCGGGGAUGACGUCAAGUCCGCAUGGCUCUUACGUCUGGGGCGACACACACGCUACAAUGGCACCGACAGCGCGCAGCGACCGGGCAACCGGAAGCGAAUCGCCAAACGGUGUCCCAGUGCAGAUCGGGGGCUGCAACUCGCCCCCGUGAAGGCGGAGUUGCUAGUAACCGCGUAUCAGCCACGGCGCGGUGAAUACGUACCCGGGCCUUGUACACACCGCCCGUCACGUCAUGGGAGUUGUCAAUGCCUGAAGUCCGUGGGCCAACCCGCAAGGGAGGCAGCGGCCGAGGGCAGGGGCAGCGACUGGGACGAAGUCGUAACAAGGUAGCCGUACCGGAAGGUGUGGCUG
RNAcentral lists this ribosomal RNA (1221 nucleotides) under metagenome. RNAcentral describes it as "bacterial SSU rRNA". It matches the Rfam family "Bacterial small subunit ribosomal RNA", at positions 267 to 1520 of the family's 1533-position model. The record is from RNAcentral.